Molecule: long non-coding RNA, 841 nt
Filed under: Salmo trutta (river trout)
Lineage: Eukaryota; Metazoa; Chordata; Actinopteri; Salmoniformes; Salmonidae
Description: lncRNA (ENSSTUG00000038310.1)
Source: RNAcentral
CUAAAAUGUACCACAUACUUAUGAAAACUGCACCAAAGCAAUGAAAAAAAAUAUAUAUAUAUAUAUAUAUAUCUUUCUCUCUCUCUCCUCCCUCCCCCAGAGCUGGUUGAAGAGGUGAGUAUUUAUGACGUCCUGUGGGAGACCAGUGAGAGAGUAGCAGAUGAGACCCUCUACUCAGCCUUCCUCAGAGGGAUGUAUUCCAGACGUCUGCCUGCCCACUGCUAUGCUGACUUCUGCCACCAGGAGAUGCUAUACCUGGACAGAGUCAUCACCAUGCUGCAGGUGAAAAGAAAAUACAUUAAAUAAAACAAAUACCGUAACGUUUUACUUACUAUGACUGUGAUACGUGGUUGUCAUCCCUAGCUAUCUGAAGAUAAGUUGCUCUGUGUGUGUAAAUGUGUGUAUGAGCCAGGUGCUGAUCAGAACAGUCCAGGGUCCACCAGACAUCAUGCAGUUUCUCCAGAGAACACAUCAACGCUACCAGGAGUCUCUGAAGGAGGCCCAGAACCAAACUCCACAACACCUGAACCUGUCCUCCAUCCAGCCCUCUGCAGCUGUGCGUCAGUACCUCCAGAGCUUCCAUGACAUUGUGAAUGAGGAGCCCAUCUACUGGCUGGUGUCUCUGCUGCCCAGAGCCCUGCUCAGACCUUACCUGGCAAAGAACCUGCCCCUGGGAGAGAGGACCAGACCAGGCCCCAGGCCCUGCCUCUACCCCUGGCUAAGCCUCUUCCCCUGCCCCUGCUACCAGUGGGGGGGAGAGGACAUGAAGUCAGACCAGAGGAACCAGAAAGACAAGUCAGGGACAUAUUACAGGUAUCUUGAAGUUUAUAGCCUAUGGAGG